This 498-nucleotide ribosomal RNA is filed under the name uncultured bacterium. Its description in RNAcentral is "bacterial SSU rRNA". It matches the Rfam family "Bacterial small subunit ribosomal RNA", at positions 28 to 516 of the family's 1533-position model. The record is from RNAcentral.
GAUGAACGCUAGCUACAGGCUUAACACAUGCAAGUCGAGGGGCAGCGGGAUUGAAGCUUGCUUCAAUUGCCGGCGACCGGCGCACGGGUGAGUAACGCGUAUCCAACCUUCCGUACACUCAGGGAUAGCCUUUCGAAAGAAAGAUUAAUACCUGAUGGUAUCUUAAGCACACAUGUAAUUAAGAUUAAAGAUUUAUCGGUGUACGAUGGGGAUGCGUUCCAUUAGGUAGUAGGCGGGGUAACGGCCCACCAAGACUACGAUGGAUAGGGGUUCUGAGAGGAAGGUCCCCCACAUUGGAACUGAGACACGGACCAAACUCCUACGGGAGGCAGCAGUGAGGAAUAUUGGUCAAUGGACGCAAGUCUGAACCAGCCAUGCCGCGUGCAGGAAGACGGCUCUAUGAGUUGUAAACUGCUUUUGACAGGGUAAACNCUCUUACGUGUAAGAGCCCUGAAAGUAUCGUACGAAUAAGGAUCGGCUAACUCCGUGCCAGCAGCC